AGCGAACGCUGGCGGCAGGCCUAACACAUGCAAGUCGAACGGAUCCUUCGGGAUUAGUGGCGGACGGGUGAGGAACACGUGGGAACGUGCCUUUUGGUUCGGAACAACUCAGGGAAACUUGAGCUAAUACCGGAUAAGCCCUUCGGGGAAAGAUUUAUCGCCAUUAGAGCGGCCCGCGUCUGAUUAGCUAGUUGGUGAGGUAAAGGCUCACCAAGGCAACGAUCAGUAGCUGGUCUGAGAGGAUGAUCAGCCACACUGGGACUGAGACACGGCCCAGACUCCUACGGGGAGGCAGCAGGGUAGGGGAAUUCGUUGCGACAAGUGGGACGGAAACGCCUGACGCACGCCAUCGCCGCGUAGAAUGAUAGGAAGGUU
RNAcentral lists this ribosomal RNA (375 nucleotides) under uncultured bacterium. Its description in RNAcentral is "bacterial SSU rRNA". It matches the Rfam family "Bacterial small subunit ribosomal RNA", at positions 29 to 416 of the family's 1533-position model. The record is from RNAcentral.